RNAcentral lists this ribosomal RNA (567 nucleotides) under uncultured bacterium. RNAcentral describes it as "bacterial SSU rRNA". It matches the Rfam family "Bacterial small subunit ribosomal RNA", at positions 338 to 916 of the family's 1533-position model. The record is from RNAcentral.
CCUACGGGAGGCAGCAGUUGGGAAUUUUGCACAAUGGACGAAAGUCUGAUGCAGCAACGCCGCGUGCGGGAUGAAGAUUUUCGGAUUGUAAACCGCUUUUAUUUGGGAGUAACUGUUUGAACGUACCAAAUGAAUAAGCACCGGCUAACUCCGUGCCAGCAGCCGCGGUAAUACGGAGGGUGCAAACGUUGUCCGGAAUUACUGGGCGUAAAGCGCAUGUAGGUGGUCUAAUAAGUGAACGAUUAAAUACCGACGCUUAACGUCGGAAAGGUUAUUCAUACUGUUAGACUCGAGGAAGACAGGGGCAGAUGGAACUUUAAGUGUAGGAGUGAUAUCCGUAGAUAUUUAAAGGAACACCAAUGGCGAAGGCAGUCUGCUGGGUCUUUUCUGACACUGAGAUGCGAAAGUGUGGGGAGCAAACGGGAUUAGAUACCCCGGUAGUCCACACUGUAAACGAUGCUCACUAGGUCUUGGAGGGUAUCGACCCCCUUUUGGACCGAAGCUAACGCGUUAAGUGAGCCGCCUGGGGAGUACGAACGCAAGUUUAAAACUCAAAGGAAUUGACGG